This 653-nucleotide long non-coding RNA is filed under the name Mytilus galloprovincialis (Mediterranean mussel). The record is from RNAcentral. Lineage: Eukaryota; Metazoa; Mollusca; Bivalvia; Mytilida; Mytilidae.
AAUAAGUCAACAUGAAUGAAAUGGUCAGUUGACCCCUUUAGGAGUUAUUGCCCUUUAUAGUCAAUUUUUAACCAUUUUUCGUAAAUCUUUAGUAAUAUUUUACAAAAAUCUUCUCCUCUGAAACUACUGGGCCAAAUUAAUCCAAACUUAGCCACAAUCAUCUUUUGGGUUAGUAGUUUGAAAAAUGUGUCCGGUGACCCGGCCAUCAAACCAAGAUGGCCGCCAUGGCUAAAAAUAGAACAUGGGGUAAAAUGCAGUUUUUGGCUUAUAACUCAAAACCCAAAGCAUUUAGAGCAAAUCUGACAUGGGGUAAAAUUGUUUAUCAGUUCAAGAUCUAUCUGCCCUGAAAUUUUCAGAUGAAUCGGACAACCCGUUGUUGGGUUGCUGGCCCUGAAUUAGUAAUUUUAAGGAAAUUUUGCUCUUUUUGUUUAUUAUCUUGAAUAUUAUUAUAGAUAGAGAUAAACUAUAAACAGCAAUAAUGUUCAGCAAAGUAAGAUUUACAAAUAAGUCAACAUGACUGAAAUGGUCAGUUGACCCCUUUAGGAGUUAUUGCCCUUUAUAGUCAAUUUUUAACCAUUUUUCGUAAAUCUUAGUAAUCUUUUACAAAAAUCUCCUCUGAAACUACUUGGCCAAAUUAAUCCAAACAUGGCCAC